AUACGUAGGGUGCAAGCGUUAAUCGGAAUUACUGGGCGUAAAGCGUGCGCAGGCGGUUUUGUAAGACAGUGGUGAAAUCCCCGGGCUCAACCUGGGAACUGCCAUUGUGACUGCAAGGCUGGAGUGCGGCAGAGGGGGAUGGAAUUCCGCGUGUAGAAGUGAAAUGCGUAGAUAUGCGGAGGAACACCGAUGGCGAAGGCAAUCCCCUGGGCCUGCACUGACGCUCAUGCACGAAAGCGUGGGGAGCAAACAGGAUUAGAUACCCUGGUAGUCCACGCCCUAAACGAUGUCAACUGGUUGUUGGGGAUUUAUUUUCUCAGUAACGAAGCUAACGCGUGAAGUUGACCGCCUGGGGAGUACGGCCGCAAGGUUAAAACUCAAAUGAAUUGACGGGG
RNAcentral lists this ribosomal RNA (395 nucleotides) under uncultured bacterium. RNAcentral describes it as "partial 16S ribosomal RNA". It matches the Rfam family "Bacterial small subunit ribosomal RNA", at positions 523 to 918 of the family's 1533-position model. The record is from RNAcentral.